RNAcentral lists this long non-coding RNA (25301 nucleotides) under Triticum aestivum (bread wheat). Its description in RNAcentral is "long non-coding RNA (TAES_LNC011436)". The stretch from base 6571 to 6657 matches the Rfam family "MIR1120/MIR1122 microRNA precursor family". The record is from RNAcentral. Lineage: Eukaryota; Viridiplantae; Streptophyta; Magnoliopsida; Poales; Poaceae.
UCACUUACCUGGGGACGCCGACUUCGACUUGGAGUGCAGGGGCGGAUAUCACGCCUGCACGGAGUCCACCGGCGACGGUGAGUAAGAUGAACACCCACCGGAUUGGUUUAAUUCAUUGCUCUCCCGUUUCUCUCAGGAUUGAUGGUUUCUCUUGUCUACAUUUUACUAGAUACCACUUCUACUACUACUGGUGAUGCUGCGGCCAGUUACUGGAGCGGCCGCCAUGGCAAGGUCAAGGCCAAGCACGGCUAGACUCCUACCUCUGGGUGCGGCCGCCAUGGAAGCCGUCCUGGGACUGAUGAUGAUCAGAGUAGAUGUCAUGUAAUGUCUGGUUAUGACAGACGGUUGAUGUACGUCUCAUUUACUAGUAUAGUACUAUAAUAUAAUAAAAUCUCAGUGCGAUUUGGAAGAAAGAGCACACAAUGAGAUGUUGCAGGCAAUGUUAUAAUCUGAAAUGACUUAAGCUGGUUUCACUCGAUUCGGUGAAAUUAAUUUACUCCUGUUGCUUUGUGGAAUGAAUCUGCCAAUUAUUCAUCUCAUAUAAACCACUGCAGUUUCGUAUAGUUAUGAUGCCUCUCAUAAGUUUGGUUUGUUAAACAUCAUUAUAUGUUAUGUUAUAUGCGGCAGGAGGUAUAUGGUUCGGUGAAUAUCAGAGAUAAGUCCAGGAGGUAGUUUGCAUAGAGAUCUUCUUGUAACCAUCUUCCUUUCUUGUUUCUCAAGAUGUAUCUUAGAUCUCUCUUAUCUCUUCUUUCUUUCUUGACCGCAUGUACAAGCCAAUUGGCUCCCCUGCUAUAUAAACAACACGUCGCCCUCGACUACGGUAAGACGUUUUCCGCUCGCACACGGUAAUCAGAGCCCCUCUUCUUCAACUCAUCUAGCUACCAGAACCACCUGUGUCGAAGCCGCACCAUGUCUUCCUCCUCCGGCGCUUCCUUCCAGCCUAGUCUCAACGGCCAGGUCACCGAGAAGCUAUCCCGCACGAACUAUGUGCUAUGACGCACGCAGAUCAUACCGCAGCUGCGUGGCGCCGGGGUCUUCGACUACGUCGACGGCACCCAUCCGGAGUCGGCGCAGCUCCUCGUCACCACCAAGGAAGGCAAGGAGACUUCAACGCCCAACCCUCUCCACCCCAUCUGGGUCCGAGAGGACCAGCAGGUCCUCGGCUACCUGCUGAGCAACCUCACCAAGGAGGUGCUCCUUACGGUGACCACGGUCACCACCGCGGACGCGCUCUGGACGACGCUCGCUGGCAUGUACUCGUUGCAAUCGGUGAGUCGAAUCAACAACAUCCGUACUUCUCUCAUCAAUGCGCAGAAGGGCAACCUCUCCGUCGCCUCCUACUUCGCUACCAUGCGCGGCUAUGCCGAUGAGCUGGCUGCGGCGGGCAAGGCCAUCCUUGACGACGAGCUCAUCUCCUACAUCAUCCACGGGCUCGACGCCGACUACCAGCCCCUGAUCUCUGCACUGGAUGCUCGCGUCACGCCCGUCACCAUCGACGAGCUCUUCGCUAUGCUGUCAAACUUUGACCAGCGGAUGGCACUUUCCAUGGCAACGGCGGCGGCGGCUUCAAGUCCUCCGCGAACUCGGCGUCUCGUGGUCGUGGUGGCUCCUCUCGGCACGGCGGCGACUUCUCCCAUGGCAGGGGGAGGUCUAGUGGAGGAGGCAACGGUGGCGGCUCCAACUCCCGCAACGGCGGGCGCGCUCCCGCCAACAAAACUCGUCGCGGCAGUGGCAAUCCUCGUGCACGCCCUGAUGCUCCGCGGUGCCAGAUAUGUGGCAAGUUGGGGCACACAGCAAAAGAUUGCUGGUACCGCUACGAAGAGGAUGAUGACUCCUCUCAAGAUGAUGACAAGGUGGCGGCGGCCGCAGAUGGCUCCUACGGAAUCGACACCAACUUGUACAUGGACAGUGGCGCCACCAACCACAUCACCAACGAGCUCGAGAAGGUGACCAUGAAGGAGAAAUACCGUGGCAAGGACCAAAUCCACACAGGUAGUGGUGAAGGUAUGGAGAUCCGUCACAUUGGUCAUUCAAGUUUUAGUACCCCUUCUCGUAGAAUCCAUCUUAGGAAAAUUUUGCAUGUUCCUAAUGCCGACAAAAGUCUUCUUUCUGUCCAUAGAAUUGCUCUUGACAAUCAUGUCUUCCUUGAAUUUCACCCCUAUUUCUUUUUGAUCAAGGAUCAGGCGACGAAGAACAUUCUCUAUCGAGGUAGAUGCGUUUGUGGGCUCUACCCGUUGAUUCCGGAGCUUAGGAGACUAAAUAAACAAGCUUGUGGUGCUAUCAAGAUUUCAUCCACACGAUGGCAUGAUCGUUUAGGACAUGCUGAUUUUUCCUUAGUUGAAAAAUUACUUAGAAAGAAUAAGCUCCCGUUUGUUGGUGAGCGCAAUAUUGAAACUAUUUGUGAUUCCUGUCAACGAGCUAAGAGUCAUCAGCUACCCUAUCCUAUAUCCACUAGUGUGUCUAUCAAACCACUGCAAUUAAUUUUUUCAGAUGUUUGGGAUCCUGCCCCCAACUUAGUUGGUAGACAUACGUACUAUGUGAGUUUCAUUGAUGACUAUAGUAAAUUUUCUUGGAUUUAUCUACUUAAGAAAAGAUUCUGUCUUUCAAGUCUUUAAAAAUUUCCAAGCACUCGUUGAACGCAAGUUUGACAGCAAGAUACUUGUUGUCCAAUCAGACUGGGGCGGAGAAUAUGAGAAAUUAAACUCUUUCUUUCAAACUCUCGGCAUCUCUCAUCAUGUGUCGUGCCCCCACGCUCACCAACAAAACGGCUCAACUGAACGCAAACACAGGCACAUCGUUGAGGUUGGCUUAGCUCUCUUAGCUGGCGCCUCCAUGCCUCUCAAAUUCUGGGAUGAAGCUUUUCUCACUGCCGUUCACAUGAUCAACAUGCUUCCCAGUCAUGUUAUUAAUAACGAAACUCCAGUAGUACGACUCCUCCAUACCAAAACUGAUUACACAUCUCUUCGCGUUUUUGGGUGUGAAUGUUGGCCCAAUCUUCGUCCAUAUAAUCAACGCAAACUCAUGUUUCGGUCAAAACAGUGUGUGUUUCUUGGAUAUAGUGUUCAACACAAAGGUGUAAAAUGCCUUGAUGUGUCUACGGGACGAGUCUAUAUCUCCCGUGACGUUGUUUUUGACGAAACAAAAUUCCCGUUUGCUGAUCUUCAUCCCAACGCAGGUGCCUUGCUUCGCAAAGAAAUCCUCCUCUUGCCAUCUCAUCUCACCGGCCUUGAUCAUGGGGGAAACACUUGUGAUGAUUCAAUGCUGACUAACCCUCCUAAUGGUACAGACAAGCUUUCUGGUGAUGUUGCAGGAACAAUCAGCGACAAAAAUGAAAAAGAACUUGGUCUUCAGGCACCAUAUUUGCUGCGUCAGGAAUCGGGGAGCAAAUCCUCCUUGGGAUCGGCGCCAGAUCAGGUGGAGCCCAGGAAAUCCACGCCGGGAUCAGCGCCAGCAGACGCGCCAGAUCUGCUCGCAGCGGAAUCUGCCGCGCGUGCGGGUUCCCGUGGCCCCACGCCUACCACGCGCUAGCCUGCGGGUGGUGGCAGCCCCGCGCCAACUCUGCGCCAAUCACCAGACGCCAUGUGGCGGCGCCCUGAUGGCCCAGGCGGUGUGCGGUUUCCCGACCAACCGCAGUGCUACAAGAGGCGGCCCCAGGUGCAGCCGACCGGCGCGAACUCCAGCGCUGACCCACCCAGCCAGGAGGGCGCGGGAUCCGGUGCAGAUCCGCGUGGCCCCGCGCAAUCACGGGCUCAUGACGAGCCGACCGGUGCGCCUGGAUCUUCUACGGCUGUUGCAACCUCUCCAUCAACUACUGAAGCCAUAGAGGAUCCAGUGCGGCUGGCGGGUGAAUCUUUCUCGGGAUCGCCUACGUUAGGAACUCCUGUGCGCGACUCCGGAUCUUCUGCGCCGGCUAACUCUGCAGCACAGUCUCGGCGGCUCACACGGUUGCAAAAAGGUGUAACUCAACCUCUCAAUUAUAAACAUAUGAGCAAAUAUGGUCUCGUUUGUUCUAUAGAUGCACAAGCUGAACCAAGAACUUUGGAUGAGGCAUUUGGAGAUGAAAAGUGGAGAAAAGCAAUGAUGGAAGAAUAUGUGGCACUGAGGAAAAAUAAAACAUGGCAUCUAGUUUCCCCACGGCAAGGUAAAAAUCUCAUAGACUGCAAGUGGGUGUUCAGAGUUAAGAGAAAAUCUGAUGGAACUGUUGACAGAUACAAGGCAAGGCUUGUUGCCAAAGGUUUUAAACAGAGAUAUGGGAUUGAUUAUGAGGAUACAUUCAGUCCAGUUGUAAAAGUUGCUACUAUUCGUCUUGUUCUGUCUAUUGUUGUCUCUAGGGGAUGGAGUCUCAGGCAGCUAGAUGUACAGAAUGCGUUCCUUUAUGGUGUUCUGGAAGAAGAGGUGUACAUGAAACAGCCUCCUGGGUUUGAGAGUAAGUCUAAUCCCUCAUUUGUGUGCAAACUUGAUAAAGCACUCUAUGGCUUGAAGCAAGCACCAAGAGCGUGGUACUCACGUCUUAGUCACAAGAUGCAAUCACUUGGUUUUGUUCCUUCCAAGUCAGACACCUCACUGUUUAUUUACAAUAAGCUCAACACAUGCAUAUUUGUUCUCAUCUAUGUUGAUGAUAUUAUUGUUACAAGUUCAUCUAGUGAGGCCAUUGCAUCAUUGUUGAAGGAUUUAAGUGCAGAAUUUGCUCUCAAGGAUCUUGGAGAUUUGCAUUUUUUCCUUGGGAUUGAAGUGAAGAAACACAAGGAUGGACUUCAUCUCUCUCAAGAGAAAUAUGCAACUGAUGUGGUAAGAAAGGCAGGUCUGCAGGGUUGUAAACCAUCCUUCACUCCAUUGUCCAGCUCAGAAAAAUUAUCCCUCACGGAAGGGCAACUCUUGAAUCAAGAGGACAGUACAAAGUACAGGAGUUUAGUAGGUGCACUUCAGUACUUGACUUUAACAAGGCCUGAUAUCUCUUUUGCUGUUAACAAGGUAUGUCAGUUUUUGCAUGCUCCUACUACUGUGCAUUGGACUGCUGCAAAACGCAUUGUCAGAUAUGUCAAACAUACCUUGAGCAUUGGUCUUAGUUUCAGCAAGUCAUCCUCAACUCUUGUUAGUGCCUUCUCUGACUCUGAUUGGGCAGGCUGUCUGGAUGACAGACGCUCUACUGGUGGAUUUGCAAUAUUUUUUGGACCAAACUUGAUUUCAUGGUGUGCAAGGAAGCAGGCCACAGUGUCUCGGUCUAGCACAGAGGCAGAGUACAAGGCAUUAGCGAAUGCCACUGCUGAAAUCAUAUGGGUUCAAUCAAUGUUAAAGGAACUUGGUAUACGAAGUUCUCAAGCUCCAUGUAUGUGGUGUGAUAAUCUUGGUGCCACCUACUUGUCUGCAAAUCCAGUCUUUCAUGCCAGAACAAAGCACAUAGAGAUAGACUUUCACUUUGUCAGAGAAAGAGUUGCACGGAAACAGCUUGAUAUUCGGUUCAUUCAUUCCAGAGAUCAAGUUGCGGAUGGGUUUACUAAGGCCCUGCCUAUGCGAAGCUUUGAAGAAUUUAAGCAUAAUCUCAACCUGAUGAAGUUGUGAUUAAGGGGGAGUGUUAAACAUCAUUAUAUGUUAUGUUAUAUGCGGCAGGAAGUAUAUGGUUCGGUGCAUACUAGAGAUAAGUCCAGGAGGUAGUUUGCAUAGAGUUCUUGUAACCAUCUUCCUUUCUUGUUUCUCAAGAUGUAUCUUAGAUCUCUCUUAUCUCUUCUUUCUUUCUUGACCGCAUGUACAAGCCAAUUGGCUCUCCUGCUAUAUAUAAACAACACGUCGCCCUUGACUAGGGUAAGACGUUUUCCGCUCGCACAUGGUUCUGUAAAUUGGUUUGCCAAAGCACUGUCUACAGUGAUUUUUGAUCCGCAUUAGUAACUUCCCAAACUAAACGUCUUUCCUAAUCCAACAGACCAGCCUUCUACUUCCGCACCGAUCCUGUAUUGGAAGUAUAGUUUAUAUACAAAAACAAGGUGAUAUAACAACAACAACCGUGUAAUGGCAUGUAAAUCAAGUUGAGUUCUUUGCAAGAAAUCUCAACUCUAACGCAGGCGAAUGUAUCUCCAAAAAGAAAGAGAAAAAUUCUUUACCACCAGUAUAUAUAGUUUCAUGUAAAUCAGAUCAGCUUCCCUGACAAGGUUCAGGCAUGGAAAGCUGCAGGCAUAAGCUGGCCUAAACCACUGAACACACUAUAACNNNNNNNNNNNNNNNNNNNNNNNNNNNNNNNNNNNNNNNNNNNNNNNNNNNNNNNNNNNNNNNNNNNNNNNNNNNNNNNNNNNNNNNNNNNNNNNNNNNNNNNNNNNNNNNNNNNNNNNNNNNNNNNNNNNNNNNNNNNNNNNNNNNNNNNNNNNNNNNNNNNNNNNNNNNNNNNNNNNNNNNNNNNNNNNNNNNNNNNNNNNNNNNUCAAUUGUACUAUAUCAAUGUAGAGCCGAUGUGUUCGUUCCUAAAAGAAAAAUCAGAUAGGCCAGUUGAUAUAAAGAAAUAAAAAUCGGUUAAAGAGACUGUGUGUACAAUAUGCAUACAUCUUGAUCUGUUGACUGGUGAAAUUGAUAUCGAUAUCAGUUACUACUCCCUCCGUCCCAUAAUAUAAGAACGUUUUUUACACUAGUAUAGUGUUAAAAACGUUCUUAUAUUUUGGGACAGAGGGAGUACUAGUUAAUUAGAUUAAGUUGUUUUCUAGAUCAGCUAAUUAUAUACUGGUUGUUAUUUCACAUGGUGUCACUAGUGUAACUGUUGCAGAAUUGUACUAGUAUGCCUAAUAUAGAGGUUUAUGGAUCAGAUAUGGGACCCUGAAAACGUGGACAGAUCCUCUCUAUACACAUGUCCAUUGCUUGAGCAAUACUCCUCUUUAUAUGUUUAUAUACAUUGCAAAGAGAAACAGAGAAUAUAAUUUUUCAGUUGAUUCAUGGAACAAGGAGGGGUAGUUAGUUGUAACAGCAAAGGGUUUUAGUUCACUCAAUGCUUGAUACGGAAGCAGCGCAGAGCAUCUGAGUUUCCUUAUGUAUGCUCAUCUCUGCGAAAAGAAAAGCUUCUUCGAGAAUCAAGCUCAUGUCUGUGGUGAAAUUAGAACUUCUUCGAGAAUCAAUGGUGUAUGCAUCAGAAUAAACUUCUUCGAGAAUCAAUGGCGUAUGCAUCAGAAUAUAAUCAAUGGCGCGUGCAGCAACAGAAGCUUGGUUCAGUGUUGGAAGUAAAGAGCAAUGUAAAUCAGAUCAGCUUCCCUGACAAUGUAGAUGGCAAGUUAUAUCUGGAAGAAUUUGGUUGAUUCUCACUCUGUUCAGUGAAACGUACUCUGUUCUCUUGUACGUAGUGGCUGGUGAAACAGCUUCGAGCGGCAGUAAAAAAUAAAAUAAGAGGGAUGUAGAUGGCAAGUUAUAUCAGGUGGAAUUUGGUUGAUUCUCACUCUGUUCAGUGAAACGUACUCUGUUCUCUUGUACGUAGUGGCUGGUGAAACAGCUUCGAGCGGCAGUAAAAAAUAAAAUAAGAGGGACGUAGUUCAGAGUUGCUCGAUCUCACCUGAUUAUUCAGGUGGAAUGUGACGACCCAAGUUGUGAGAGAGGGUCGAACUCUCGACCUCAGGAUCACUCACGUCUUAGCUAUGAGACCUACGCGCUAGCCAACUGCGCCACCACCCCUUUGUUGUAUUAGCAGCGAAACAACAUCUAUUUUUACAUAAGCGUUGCCAUCUUUAAAAGCUUUCAAACAAUCUGGUUGGAAGUCAGGAGAGAUUAUGUUUGCUUGUGUAAAAAUAGCACAGGAUGAGCACACGGAUCAGUUGAAAAUUCAACCAAGAUGGGGAAAACUCAACACUAGACAUCAAAUGAGCUCCAAAAAGAGCAGCGUUUUAGUGGUUUAGUUUAUACUGGUGAGCAACUUUGCGUCAACCUUCUGUUCCUCUUUGCGCAACUCGUACAAAAUGCUAACUGAAGAUCAACUGAGCAUUGAGUCAUUCAUUCUAAAACUAAAUGCGUUGAGUGACUGCGGUUCCUCUUUGCGCUGGUAUCCUCUAUUCUUAAAUAGUUACAACCCACCACUUAUUUUUCCUAGUUAUGCAAACAUGUCACAUAAGCAAACCAUGCAUUAUGUCAGAAGUUAUAUUUUCCUGCAUUAGCCUAUGCAUGCAGCGCCACAUCAUCAAUUCAUGUAUGUUAGUCAUAAGUUACCUUUUUAUUAGUUUGCGUUUUUAUGGACAUUAUAUGUGUUGGGCGAUUGCAACAUACCCAUGUAGCUCAUCCUUGUCAUUGUUGUUACAAACUACAUUCUUUUAACUAUAAUUCAAAAGUUUUUCCUUCUUUUUAGAUAUUUCAUAUGUUUUUAUUGGUUUUUAAGCUUACAUUUGCUUUCCUGGCUUUAAUUGUUUCUGGAAAAUAUUUAUGCACUUCUUUUUAACAAAGGCCCCGCAGCAACGCGCGGGGCAUCAUCUAGUAGAACUAAUUGUGCGCUUACUUACGCACCUGUUAUAUACGGCCAAAUCCUCUGCAAAGAAGUGCCACUUGCACCGCCAAAUCUUUCGUAAAGAAUAAAUUGGCACUUACAGUGUAAACUAGUAGGUAGACCAGGCGGGCACUAUUUUUUGGAUAAAAGAUUGAUUUUAUCAACUCAAAAUAAAGAAUUAACGGGAUACAAACAUAAUGAGCACAUACCCAAUUAUGUCGGCAAAGAGCAAAGUUAUAUUUAGACCAAAACUCUUCUUAGGUGGACGAAAAAGGAAAAAGCUCCGAAGCGAUCAAAACUGCGAUCGACAAACUACGCGACCAUAUGCACCAAAAAAAUUGACAUCACAAAGGCAAUGAGAAAGGUUAGCAACGCCUCUAGGCGAGGGGAAUGUCGAUCAAGCCGCCGCCACUGCUGGAUCCAACCACCAAAGGUCAAAUCAUGGGGUUUCACUCUCAAGAUAAGACGCAAGCAGAUCCUAGCUAGCAAUGCCAAAUACAAGGUAACGACGCAAAAACACUGUCAUUGCCAAUUAUUACCAAUUAGGGUCAGACUUUGGGUUUUCACCCUAGGGCUCAAGACCGGGUACUCAAAAAGCACCACCUAAAUCAAAGUCACCAUGUGUUACCGCCACCAUUUUCUGUGAUCCCAGUAGCUACAUGUGUAGCACGAUCUUGACAUGAGAUUCCAUGAAAGUGAAGACCAUGACCUCAUAGGCGAGCAGUCAAUCCACAAAAAGUGCUAGUUGCCACCAAAGGCUCAAAACAAAAAAGGUCACCGUCACACAUGCGAUGAAAAUUGGCGAGGCUGGAAGGUCAGCGGCACCGCCAAAAAUCCAUUGGGGACACUCUGGCAGUCCCGCCCCGUCCUCAUGCUCUGUGUUCUCGUAUGUUAUAGUCUAAAGAGGCAAGAUGAUGAUGGUGAUGAAGGCGGCGAUGGAGGUGAAAGAGGCAAGAUAGCACCGGCCCUCCAAGCAAUGUGGGGCGUUGGUGGAGACUCCUGCUUUUUUCUUCCAUGUCUUAACCCUUCCUCUUUGGGGAAGACAUAUCUUGAUGCUGCAGUGGAAUUGUGUCGGACUGAGAUGGAUUCGNNNNNNNNNNNNNNNNNNNNNNNNNNNNNNNNNNNNNNNNNNNNNNNNNNNNNNNNNNNNNNNNNNNNNNNNNNNNNNNNNNNNNNNNNNNNNNNNNNNNNNNNNNNNNNNNNNNNNNNNNNNNNNNNNNNNNNNNNNNNNNNNNNNNNNNNNNNNNNNNNNNNNNNNNNNNNNNNNNNNNNNNNNNNNNNNNNNNNNNNNNNNNNNNNNNNNNNNNNNNNNNNNNNNNNNNNNNNNNNNNNNNNNNNNNNNNNNNNNNNNNNNNNNNNNNNNNNNNNNNNNNNNNNNNNNNNNNNNNNNNNNNNNNNNNNNNNNNNNNNNNNNNNNNNNNNNNNNNNNNNNNNNNNNNNNNNNNNNNNNNNNNNNNNNNNNNNNNNNNNNNNNNNNNNNNNNNNNNNNNNNNNNNNNNNNNNGAGAGGGAGAGAGAGAUGCUAGGGUUGGUGUCAUAAAUUGCCAGUCUUCACGUGUCUCCUCCGCAGAUCCACCUCCACUCAUUUGAUGCAUGGGGUCUAGAGGAGCCCCAACCUCUCCCAGCACCUUCGUUGUCUUUCGAGGAUCUUGUAAUAACAAAGGGGACAUAAUCGGUUAAGAUUGUUGAAGUUAUUUGAAUCCCAUCGCCCAAAUCAUAUGGUAUGACCGUCGGUACGAUCGUGUGCAGUUAUACCAUGCCUCGUCUUCUCUAUUGUCACCUCGUAUGGACAAGCCUGACUUCCUGGUACUGGUACUGGAUAUUCAAUUUGGGCUCACUUGAAAACCUUAUUUUAUCGAUCUCACCAUAGGCCUUGUAUUUGGGCCCCGUAACUUCGUCAUAUUGAUUUUAACUUUGUUCCUUCCAUCGUGCUACAUUCAGUGGCAGAGGCAGGAAUAAUUUUCAGGUUUGACAAAGUUUAUGGAGAUAAAAGUGUAUAAUGCAACUAUCUAAGAACUCGGUCGAAUACAAAAUAUAUAUAUUACAUUGUGUUUCUUUUGAAACAAAGGCGAUCUUGCUUCCAGCCGCCAGGGCGCUGCCUUCCGCCACCGUCCUCCAUGAGAGAGCACUCGAAUAAUGGACCUUAUUUUUGGUCGCCGUAACAAAAUUUGUUUUAAAAUUUAAACUCCAAUUCUAAUUAUGAACUAGUACCUUUCUUUCAUUAUGUAUUUGCUUUUAUUCAAUGCCAUUUACCUACUCGUCCUCGCAAGGACGUCACUGCCUACAGAUCGCCGGCCACGACUUACUCUUGCCGGCCGACAAGCCGCUCUCCGUGUGAUGGUUAUUUUUUGCAUCAUCCCUUUCCUUGCGGGCACACAUGAUCAAGAUUGAAGACGCGUGGUUUAGGGGGGUUCCAGAACUGGGAAGAUGUUGUCACUCACGGUUGUGAGUUGACCGGCAAGAUCGUUCUGCCUGCACGUGUUUUAGUUCUACUAGCAAAAAUGCCCGUGCGUUGCAACGGAAGAAAAAACACACACGUCCUAACCCAAUAAAUUAAAUAUGUGAUGUUGUAAUAAUUUAUAUACCACAAAAGGUGUAAUCAAAAGGAUAAUUCAUAAGUCGGACAUGAAACACAUUUUUUGAGUUUCCCGUGUGUGCCCUAAUCUGUGUGUAUAUAUAUUAGUACAACAUCGCCUAACCCUUAUCCAGCUAUGGACGGUGUUCGUGUCCUUUUCAGUUUUCACGUCCUAAAGGCAAGAGCUCCUCCCUCCCAAUUGGCGUGUGGGGCGAAAUAGUACGUGAGCAAGCUGCACCAUUGUCACGGUCUCUCUACUAUUCAUCCCUCCUCUCUCUUGCCUAUCUCACCAACGACAUCGAUGACAUUCAGACUUAAGGAAUAUCUUGAUGAUCAACAAGUAACAGUGAGCCCCUAAUAUCUUCUACCUUAAGAAUGAUUUCUUUCCAAUAAUCACUCACUUUUAGUUAGCCUAUCUGAUAAUGUAUUCCUAAGAUCUGACAAGCAUGAAUAUUAAAUUAUAACAAUAACAACAAACAACAGCAAGUAAUUAUAAUUUGUGCUCAUCAGGAAAAAAGAAUUGUAAUCGGUGCUAGCACGCAUAGCAUGCAGCCAAGAUUUUAUGUUUCGUUUUGUAAAUUUUACUGCCCUUGAACGAAAUGGGCGAAUUUUGAACUUUUUUCGGAAAAUCUCGGAUGAAAAGGACAAUUCAAAAUUAAAAUUUGUGGAUGAAAAUAGCGAAAGUAUAAACGAAAAACGACCAAAAUUGUACAAUUUUUUUGAAUCCUACAACAAGACUAAAGCACAAUCAAACAUAACAACACGGGUCCCUUGAUUGAUAUACACCGACGAAUAGCUCUGAACAAUUCGAGUCAGCAGACUACCUCAAACUUGAAUCAACAUAAAUACCACAGUACUUACUACUCAUCUUGGUCUGGUUAGUAGUAGUACAUCAAUCCCAGUAUGAAGGCACGUGCAUGCACACCACAUUCUGGUCCCGUUCCAGCCGCCUGGAUGCCGCAUCCAGCAGCUUCCAGAGUUCCUGUUCAUACAGUUUUGAUUAAAAAAAAGCAACAUGCACACCCAGAAAUAUCCCCACCGACGGCCCACUGCGUGCCCCCUUCCUAUCCACACAGCGCCGCUCCUCUAUUUUAACAUGAUGGCUCACCAUGUUGCCAAUUAUCUUUCUUCUCACUCUCAUUGAUGAUGGAUGCAAUAUCCACGUGAUCGCAAUGCAUUCAACGUGGUAAAAAAUGGGCUUGUCACUGUACGACACACUUGUCAUUGUCUCGCGCAAGGGAAUGUUUUGAACUUUGAAAACAAAUCUCAUCGACCAUGGACUACUCGCCAACCCCAAGACAUAUAAAGAAUUUCCAAAAUUAAUCAAAUCCUAGAUAUAAAAUACAUCUGAAUAGGAAGAGUUUUUUGAAUCGACAAACAUUCUUUUUAAAUUUAGACAUUUUUUUAAAUUCACAAACAUUUGUUUUUUAGACGAACAUUUAUUGAAAUGCAUGAAUAGUUUUUGAUUUCAUGAUGACUCAGAUUCACAAAUAUGUUUUGAAUACACGAUCAUUUUAUCAAGAUCAUGAACUUGAUUUUAUUUAACGACAUUUCUUUCCAAAUUAUUUUUAUAAUUUGCAAAUAUUUUUGUAAAAUCAGUAACAUUUUUUCAAACCACGAAAAUUUUAUGAUUUCCUGAACUUUUUUGAAUUCACACACAUUUUAUAAUUUCUCAAACAGCUUUUUCAAACUCGCAACUUUUUAAUACUUGAAAAUCUCAAAUUGAUUUAAAGAAGGAGAAAACAAAAACAGAAGUGAGAAAAGAGAAGACCAGAAAAAAGAAAAAAAACAGGGCAUUAAGUCCGCUGGCUGGCCCAUGUAGGCCUAAAGUAAGUGGGAAUAAGUCAUGAGAAAAAGGUGGAGGAAAAUAUUGGUAGAAGCUGGGGUUCGAACCCUGGUCUACAGGGCAGAAGACAAUGCAUUGAGCCACCGCGCUGCUACUGCGUCACUGCUAGUUGUUGGAUAUUAACUGUAUACAAACUCUGGAAACGACAGCGACUUUGAAAAGAAAAACCGAAUCGUUUUCUUCACUUACGGAUGGCAUAGCGGGUAAUUUCUAGCAACUUCGGGGGGCGAUUUUUGUGACGUACGGGCAGAAGCAAUAUCUGCUUUAUUAGUAUAUAUAUAUAUAUAUAUAUAUAUAUAUAUAGGUAUAGAUAUAGAUAUAGAGGUAUAGAUAUGGAGUCAAGUUAUAGGCCCGUUACAUCAGCCCCACGACCUAUGUACCUGUAUCAGGCCCAUGGCUAACACGUAGUGUACUUGUAUAUUCCCCCUCUCCCGGUGGAUCCUAAUUGACGCCCGUGUGCGCGUCCAGAAAACGUGGCUUCGCUGAAGCGCGGGAUGAGCUGCGCGCGACGGGCCGGCCCACCUCGCGAAUUCAAGCGUUGCGAGGCAAACCGGUUUUGGGAACCCUUCUAGAAGGUUCCCAGAACCGCUUUCUUUCUUUUUUUAUACUUUUUGCCGGUUUUCCGAUUUUCCCUGUUUCUUUAUUCUUUUUUUUGUUUCUGUUUUUUAAAUCCCGUUUCUGUUUCUUGUUCCUUUUUCUUUUUCUUUAUUUUUUCGUAUUUAUUUUCAUCCUUUGUUUUCAAAAAAAAAUUAAAUUUCCUUAUUUUCUUCAUGAUUUAAUAAAGACACACAGUUUUUAAAUUUUGUUCACAAUUCAAAAUUUGUUCAGCGUACAUUACAGAAAUGUUCAAUGUAUAUUUUAAAUUUGUUCGGGAUAUAUCACAAAAUUGUUCAGUGUGUUUUUUAAAAUUGUUCAGCGUACAUUACAAAAAUGUUCAAUGUAUAAUUUAAAUUUGUUCGGGAUAUAUCAGAAAAAUGUUCAGUAUGUAUUUAAAAAUUCUUCAGCACAUGUUACAAAAAUGUUCAAUGUGUAUUAAAAAAAUCUUCUUUUUGGAAUUUCGAAAUUUGUGUUCAACUUUCCAGUAAUUGUUCACGUUUGGAAAGUUUUGUCGAAUUUUAAAAACUGUUCAUGGUUUUAAAAAGGGUUUCGCGUUUGUCAAAAUUUGUUCAGAAUUUUUUUUUUGUUCUUGAUUUUCUUGAAUUGUUCGAAAAUUGUGAAAAGUUGUUUGGUACUUUAAAAUCGCGCGCUGCCUCCGAACCAGAAGAAGCUAUCAGCUCAACUGGUUAGGUUUUAGAGUUCCGGAGCGAGACGUCAUGGGUUCGAUCUCCUGCUGGCGCGGGAAAUCCUAUUCGGCGCUUAUGCGCCGGUUCCCCAACUGGCGCCUGCAGGCGCAUCUAAUUGGGCUAGGCCCAUCUUGCCAUCUCUUCUUCUUUCUGUACAAAGGAAAGAAAAGGCAACGCGUCGGGCAGAAUUCGAACGUGGGAUCUCCUCGCCGUUUGCAACCUGCGCUAGCCACCCCACCUGCCUCACAACUACGCUCUUUUACACUUUUUUCCUUCUUAUGUCUUUUUUUCGGUUCAGAAUGCUUUCGCUCGCUUUUUAUUUCUUUUUCUUUUUUUGUUUUGCUCAUUUGAAUGAACUUUUUUUGAAUCAACGAACGUUUUUCAAUACCGACGAACUUUUUUUGAGUUCGAUGAACUUUCUUCGAAUUGGGUGAACUUUUUUUGAAUUUGAAGAACCUUUUUAAAAUCGGAUGAACUUUUUUCGAAUUCGAUGAACUUUUUUCAAAUAUGAUGAACUUUUUCCAAAUUGGAUGAACUUUUUCCCAAAAUCAAUUAAAUUUUUUCGAAUUGGAUGGACUAUGAUUCAAAUUUGAUGAACUUUUUUCGAAUUCGAUGAACUUUUUUCGAAUUUGAUGAACUUUUUCCAAUAUCGAUGAACUUUUUUCAAAUUGGAUGAACUAUUUUUCAAAAUUGAUGAACUUUUUGUUUAAAUUCAUGAACUUUUUUGUGAACACGUGAACUCUUUUUUUGCAUGUUCGUGAACCUCAUUUGAAAUAUGUGAACAUGUUUUUAAAAUAUUUUAACAAUCUCAACGGUAUUGUUAAUGCACAAUAAAUAGCGCGUCUUCUAUUUUCGUUCUUAAGACGUAUUGCGCUGUACAGAGAUAUGAACUGUUAGUUGGUCUGGUGGUAGGACAACCUAUACGUAAGCACGACGGCGCGUGUUUGACUCCAGACGACAGCUAAUUUUCGCACGUAUUUUCUCGCGCUGCUCUUAUUUUUGGGCCGGCCCAGCUAGACGCCGCUGUGAGCGCCGGUUGCGUUCCCCGGCGCCUACAGCGCCGAAUAGGACCUCCCUGCUGGCGCGGGAUAUUUUUGGCGUUUUUUCCCACGCGCUCGAGCUCCAGACCUUCAAAUGGGCCGGCCCAUCAGCGUAUACCUUCAGCGAACGCUCCUCUACUUGACGCUAACGAGCGUGAAGCGUCCGACAGGAGCUCCCCCUCUCCCCUAGCCUAAAAAAGGGUAUCUGACGCAAAAUUUAGGUGUGGGCAUGUAUGCCUUGCCAACUAGCUAGUUUUGCCACUGGGUACUUUCAUGGUAGUUCGAAAUCACCUACAAACACCAAAACAUCAAGUAGUUCCUAGGUGAGCUUUUCAUGUCAUUUUGUUAGCCCAUCCUUAAGAGUCAAUCGACCUCAACUCCUCAAGUCAAUCCAAUCUCAACAGCUCCUGUGCCGCCACCAUGAAUCGAAUGAAGUCGACAAUAGCACUUUACGGACAUUCCAACCUUUUCAUCAGGCCGUUUCCACAACUAUUUCAUCAAACAACUCACUUUUAUCAUAGACGUUGUCAACAGAACACCUCUUUUAGGGCGAACCAACCUAUAAUUGGAUGGUUUGAAGGACAGUAGUAGUUCCAGCCCACCAUGGUUCAAGUCAUGGUGCUCGCAUUUAUUCUUGAAUUAUUUCAGUAUUUCCAGCGAUACGCUUUCGAUGGGUGGAGACAUUCCUGUCGACUAUGACGCGCCUUUGGUGACUUCGUCAAUCUCAAGAUGAUAUGUUAGCUCAUUUUCUCAGAGAUGCUCAUAUGGAUAGGAUGUGCGUGUGCGUAUUCAUAGGGAUGAAUGUAUGCGCGUAUACAUAAGUGCAUGCGUCUAUACUUUGUUUAAAAAAAACACCUUUGUUUAGGUCUUUAGGGUGGAGGGGUGUCAACACAGUACCUUUGCCAUGAACCGGUUUUUUUUAGACACGCCAUGAACCGAAUGAUGCCGACGCCACAGUCCAAACAAAAAGGCCCAAGGCCGAGAAGAUUGCCAUGAUUUGUAUGGCCCGGUCUGUCUGGCCUGCGGGCCCAAGGUCUCACCCAUUGCCUCCAGCUCGAAGCCCUAGCGUCUUCCUCUCCCUUCUCCCGCAGCACCUCCUCUCCAUAGUCCCAGUAGGCCACAGCUUGGAGGUCCCAGCGGACCGCAAAUUGGCUGGGUCUUAGCGGCAAUGGAGGAUGGCGGCCAUGGGAAACUUCAAAUCCAAUUGGCUACCCUACGUAUUGGUACCACAGUGCAGUCAAAUAGGAAAUCAGUGAAAGAUGGAAUCUGAGCUGCGGCAAGAUUACCCUGACACGAUUUGGUCGGCAUGCAGGGACACCCUAUUUGCAGGUCACUUACCUUCUUUCUCCACUCUAACUAGAUUAGUAAAUGAGCUCUUAAGGCCAAUCUUAUUGCGACAUUUUUAGUAGUGACCACUUAGAAUGUUUGACAGGCUACAAAGAAUGGGAAGAUGGAGUGCAAUUUUCACCUAAUUUGGAACUUACAUGGCUCAAUCUCGCGUUAUUGCUUAUUGGAAACCUCUAGGAUUUGGCAAGUGAUCAUAUUGCAGUUGAACAAAAUAUUAUUUUUGUCAGAACUGACAGUCAUAGAGUAGUGAAAAAUUAGACCAAUGGGACAAGCCCAACUCCUACUGACAAACAAACAUAGAAAAAAGAGAGAGAACCAGAGAUCUGAACAGUAAUUACUUGCUCGGCAUUGGAGCUAUCAUGCUAAUUGUUUCAGGUUUGGAAGGAAACACGUUGGAGUUGCUAUAUCGGUUUCACAUCAAAAGAAAUGGAUGGCAGGCAUUGCACCUUGCCAUCGAUUGGUCCCAUCUAUUUGUUGCAAUCAACGACUGUACCUUACACAUCAAAGCCCCGUAUAUAAUAUUGAUUCGUAGUUCAUUCCCCGUUAAUAUUUUUUCAAACAUAGUCAAUUGCUAACAAUCCUACCCAAACUUGCUUGGGACUAAAGGCUUUGUUGUUGUUGUUGUAUAGUCAAUUGCUAACAAUAACUUGAUUAAGUUGCUAUAAUAUGGGUAGAGGAGGCAUCUUUCGGGUAGAAAUUGCAUCUCAGUUCUCUUCUGUAGAUCUGAAUACAAUAUACACUCAUAUUUGCAUCCUCUAUUGCCGUUUUAUGCUCUUUGUUUGUGUUCUUUAUUGCCAGUUUAUAGUCUUUGUGUUGAUUUAUGCAUUGUCAUUUUAUAUAUAAUCUUUUCUACAAGGAGAUGUGAGGACCUUCUUUAUUAGAAAAUACCCAUUGAGAGUAUUGACAGUUAUCUGAAGCAGAUCAACUGAGUUGUUCCUUUAAUAUUUUUUAACAAAACAAAUGCAGGCUUAUGUUUCCGAAGAAAUUACCAUGUGAGAAUUCUCUACACCUCUAGUUUAGAUGCUGCACACGGCACUUGCCUCUUCUAGUUAGAUCUAUUUCGUUGUGUGUUAUCUCUCACAUUUCUUUCCCUGGAGGUCCUCGAAUGAAUAUUUGGUGGUUAUAGUAGCAUAUAUAACACAUCUUUGGAUGUAAACCACUGGAUACCUGGAAGGCAAUAUUGGUUUGGUACGAUUAUCCAUUAAACUCAUACCUAAGUAUUUCAUGGGUUGGCCUCUUUCCCUCUACCAGAACUCUACUUAUUUCACUUGUUAUGCAUCUUAUGUUUUCUGAUUAGGUGACAAACAGCUUAUUCCUUUAUGCUUCAACAUGUACUGCAGGGCUCUCCAGUUACUCAAUCGAAACUUUAAAGGUAAGUUCCUUACUUUCCUUCUUGCUAUAAUUUCAACAAUUAUGUGUCACUUAUGAUGAUAGGGUGGAAACCGCAGUUAGUCUUAAUUAGCAAAUAAGACUUGGUGUUCAAUCAGAAAGUUGUUGCCAAAUAAAUACUUCUGAGUCUGAAACCAGUUAUUUCACUGCAAGAUUACUAGAAGUGCUAAUAUUCCAAUAUGCCACAUUUUAUGCUAAGUGUUUUUUAAUUAAUGUUCUUGCUAGGUAUUGUCCACUAUACAUUCAAUAAAAAUAAAGAGUUAUGCAUGUACUUGGUAGUGGUUUACUCUUCUUCAGGUUGCAAAAAGGCAACACUUCUUUGUGCUACUUGCAAUUUUUUAUGUUGUGUCACGAUGAUUGGCAUUCAAUUCAUAACUAAAUUCUCUCUAUUUAUUCUGCUUAUUAUAGGUCACAAUUUCAUUUCAGUCGCCAUUCAUUCUUUGUGAUUCAGUUUUGGUUUGUUGCUCAUGUAGUUUGAAUAUAAAUUCAUUGUCUGUUUUUAAUGCUUCUUAUCACCAUUGUUUCACGGGUCUGUUAGCAAGGUAGAAGGUGAGAUGGUAUGAAUAAACAUGAACACCAUGUUUUUACAGUUAUUAUUACUAUAAAUGAUUAUCACAACUGCAAAACAGUUGUCUUGCUAGUAUGUCUUAGUAGAUUACUAUGGCCCCGUUUGGUUUGGACUUUUUAGCCGGAUUCCGCAGCCCGGCAGCCAAAUCUUAGCCAAAGAGCGAACCAACCAGCCCCGAUUCUAGCGAAGCGAAGCCAAAAAUACAUGCACGAGCGGCAGCAACCCACGAGGUGCUUUCUCGGCUUCCGUUGUGUGCCUCUUUGAACCUACCCCCGAUGCGUUAGUAAAAUUACCCCUUUGCCACUGUAUGGGUCGACCCAGAGCCAUGACCGAUCCCGGGUACCACGACAGAAAUCAUCUCGCCUCUUGUCUCCCUCUCUUUGGCGAUUAGGGUUGCCCCCACGCCGCCGCCUGGGGCUGACCACCGGCCUGGUCCCUCGUCCUGGCCAGCGUGCCGUCGAACGCCUCCACCCCCAUCCUCCUCCGUCCCCCAUCCGCCCUAAGAAGAUCUCCACUCCGCCGCCAGGAGCACUUCUGCUGCCCCUGCCGCUGCAAAUAAGGGGAGAGGACCACCGGCUAGCCAGCACAGUCGGACGCCUCCAUCCCCCCAUCCGUCGGACGAGCUUCUCCACCCAUCCAAGCUGCCCCACCGCAAGCUAGCUCGCUGAAGGUACUUCCGAAUGUUUUUACAGCUAUUAUUACUAUAAAUGAUUAUCAAAACUUCAAAACGGUGCGGCCCAGUACACUGGCCAACGUCUCAUCCGGACGUCGCCAGCCGCCAGACGCCGCUGCCUUGCCGGCAGGGCCGCCGCCCCAGGAACCGCAGGCCUCCGAUGUGAUCUGGUCCACAGGCCAACGAGAUCGAUCUGAGCGCCGAGAUCCCCGCCGCCACCUUCCCCGGUGCCCGCGCGGGCUUUCCAGGCGGCCGUCUCCGAUGGCGACAAGGAGGGAAGGGGGCUGAAGGGGUGGCUGGGCGGCGAUCCCUAAUCGCCCUAGAGUCGCCCUAGGGGCGACGCGAGGGCCACGGUCGCGUAACUCCCCGUCAAACGCGAGCAACAACUUGUGUACACAGCACAUUACUCCUCUUUAUAUGUUUGUAUACAUUGAAAAGAUAGGAAACAGAGAAUAUUAUUUUUUAGUCGAUUCAUGGAAUAAAGAGGGGUAGUAAGUUGUAGCAGCAAAGGGUUUCAGUUCACUCCAUGCUUGAUACGGAAGCGGAGUAGAGCAUCUGAGUUUCCUUAUGUAUGCUCAUCUCUGCGAAAAGAAAAGCUUCUUCGAGAAGCAAGCUCAUGUAUGUAGUGAAAUUGGAGCUUCUUCGAGAAUUAGUGGUGUAUGCAUCAGAAUAAACUUCUUCGAGAAUCAAUGGUGUGUGCAUCAGAAUAUAAUCGAUGGCGUGUGCAGCAACAGAAGCUUAGUUUAGUGUUGGAAGUAAAGAGGAAUGUAGAUGGCAAGUUAUAUGUGGAAGAAUUUGGUUGAUUUCCACUCGGUUCAGUGAAACGUACUCUGUUUUCUUUGUGCUAAGUGUUUUUUUAUUAAUGCUCCGUGCUAAGUAUUGUCCACUAUAUAUUCAAUAAAAAAUAAAGAGUUAUGCACGUAUUACUCGGUAGUGGUUUACUCUGCUUCUUCAGGUUGCAAAAGGUAACACUUCUUUGUGCUACUUGCAAUUUUUUAUUUUGUGUCAUGAUGAUUGGCAUUCAAUUCAUAACUAAAUUCUCUCUAUUUAAUAUUCUUAUUAUAGGUCAUAAUUUCAUUCCAGUCGCCAUUCAUUCUUUGUGAUCCAGUUUUGGUUUGUUGCUCAUGUAGUUUGAAUAUAAAUUCAUUGUCUAUUUUUAAAGCUUCUUAUCACCAUUGUUUCACAUGUCUAUUAGCACGGUGGAAGGUGAUAUGGUAUGAAUAAACUGCUUUCCCGGCUAGCAUGUCUUAGUAGAUUACUAUGGACCCAUUUGGUUUAGCAUUUUUGGACGGAUUCCGCUGCCUGGCAGCCAAAGAGCGAUUUGACUAGCCUCGAUUCUCGGAAAGCAAAGCCAAAAAUACAAGCACGAGUGGUAGUAGCCCACGAGGUGCUUUCCCGGCUUAUGAUGCGUGCCUCUUCGAACCUACCCCCGUUUCAUUGGUAAAAUUACCCACCUUUGCCACUGGAUGGGUCGACCCAGAGGCCAGGACCGAUCUGAGGAACACUCGCCUCUCAUCUCGCUCUCUCUAGUGAUUAGGGUUUCCCCACGCCGCCGCCAGGGGCUGACCACCGUCCUGGUCCCUUGUCUCAGCCGGCGCGCCGCCGAACGCCUCCAGCCCCAUCCUACUCCGUCCCCCAUCCACCCGAAGGGGAUCUCCACUCCGCCGCCAGGAGCACUUCUGCCGACCCUGCCGCUACAAAUCAGGGGAGAGAACCACUGGAUUGCCACUACAGUCGGGAGCCUCAAUCCCCCCAUCGACCGGACGGGCUUCUCCACCCAUCCUAUCUGCCCCACCGCAAGCUAGCCCACUGAAGGUACUUCCGAAUGUUUUACAGCUAUUAUUACUAUAAAUGAUUAUCAAAACUUCAAAAUUGUUGUCUUGCUAGCAUGUCUUAGUACAUUACUAUAUGAGGCCAUUGAUAGCUACACACACAAAAAGCAAACAAAAUGUCUGAUAUAGCAUAGACCAAUCACAUUGCUAGUUGGCCCCGUGGAGUGCACCUUUUCUUCUAGUUAGUAAAUAAAAGAUGAAACUUUACAUGGUUAGCAGGCUGCACACUCGUACUGGUCCUCAGUCCAAUCUCCUAAAAAGGAAAAGAUCUCAGCUCUCCACUUAAUUUUCCAAUCUCCAGCAUAACAGCGGUCGGAGAGAAAGGAGGAGUGGCGCCACCGGUGACUCCAGACCUCUCCGUCCCUGACAACGGCAACCAAAUAUUUGAGGUCAGGAAACCCCAUUCCCUUCAUCUCCUCAAUCUCCUAGAAAUAAUUUGUUUAUGUUAUUUCCUUGAGGAAAACCCUAGCUUGAUUUCCCCUCAUAACCCUAACCUUCCCUUACUACAACAGUGGAGUGGAGGGGGGGGGAGAGCGGGUGCUGAGAUAAGAGGAGGUAGAUAGGUGAUGAAUCCAGUUGAGAUUCCACACUGGUAACAUCCAGCUUCUGUGAAUUUGUUUCAGGUUCUCUCUCCUUAACUUUGUGAACGUUAUGUUGUAUGUCAAUUUGUUUUUGGGUGGCUGUUGUUGUUUCAGGUUCGAUCCCGUUCCCAACUCAGUGUGUGUGGAUGGAAAGAGGCUGCGACAAUCUGCAAUGCCUGUUGACCCCGUGUCCAAGGUGCUCGACGACGAUAACCUUCUCAUUGAGAUCCUCCUCCUAAUCGGCUACCCCACCACCCUCAUCUGCGCCUCUCUUGUCUGCAAACGUUGGUUCUGUCAUGCCUCUGACCCUGCCUUCCUCUGCCGCUUCCGCAAGCUCCACCCACCCUGCCUCCUCGGCGUAUAUUUCAAGACCAGGGCAAACCGCUCACGCUUUGUGCUGAUGCUACCGCAGCCCCCAGAGAAUAAUGCAGUCAUCAGCUGCGCAAGCUCCAGCCUGGAUGCACAUAAACUCAUCUUGGAUGAAUGCAAUGGCAUCAUCUUACCAAAACAUUUAACAACUGCGAUGAAGAACCCAGAUCAAUACAUAUAGUGCUCAACCCACUCUGCCCUGCAAGAGGCAUGGUUAUCGUACCUCCAUUCCCAUGCUACGGACGGCAGGACGGCUAUUUCUACAAGUUCUGUCAACUCCUAUUCGAAGAAGAAGGUGACGGCUUGUCAUACUUGUGUGUGCGGGGUGAACUUUCUAAUGAUGGAAGAAAAUCUACGGUGUAUGUGUAUAUGUUGCAAGAUGGUGUUUGGUGCUUGCAUACCUCAGCAACGACACAACUUCCUUGUCGGCCACAGAUACUGAAUCCUCUGCUCGUUGACAAUAAAAUCUACAUGGCGGCCACCCAGAGUGAAAUUCUUGUGUUGGAUUUGACAGCCUCAAGUUUCUCCACAUUUCAGGUCCCACAAGGGUUGGUUAUUGGUUACAAACGAACCAUGUUGUCACGGGCAUAUGAUAAUUCUGGUGUGUAUCUCAUUCAUUUGAACGGGCUUCAGCUUUGCAUCUGGCUGUGCACAGGGGACAACUGGUUGCUGGUGGAUACCAUCUGCUUGCGUGAGAUGUAUGCUAAAUUGAGGAUGCCUGAUCUCACAAAUUGGGUGUGGAUAAAUCAGGUGGGGGUAAAUGCUGAGUUUGUUUUCUUGAAGAUGGGUCGAUACCUAGUCUAUGUAGGCAUCAAGUGCAGGAAGUUGUGUAAAGUGUAUGAGAUGACAAGUGAGGAUCGAUGGUUGGGUCGUAUCCAUCCUUGUAUGAUGAUCUGGCCUCCUACAUUCCAUGCGCUCAAGGAUGGUCCUGCAAGGUUUGUUUUUUGGCCUUUGGGUGAUGUUAUUGUAUUUUCUUUUUGUGUGGUCGCAUUAGAAGCAUAGAUGAAACAUUUAUAAUAGGACGAUGAGGGUGUUCCCUGUGUAUGGGUGCUUGGUCGGCAUGCUGGGAAGAAAAAUGGAGGAACCGGGAAUAAGUAUGCGAAUUUAGAGGAAUGGGGGUUUGCUGCUGAACUAUGAUCCUCAAGAUAUCAUGUCUCAGAUUGUUAAUGUUGACUGUUUUCAGAAUGUUCUCUUAUAAUUGAGUUAAGGGGUUUUCCUGGAAGCAUUCUUGUGUUUAUGCAUCAAACAAUUUACACUGGCAUGCUUGUGUUUAUGCAUCUCUUCUCUUCUGAUUGAGAUGUAUCGCUACGAACUUCUUGCUCUUAUAUGCAAGGGUAUAAUAAUAUAAUCUAACAACUUGUGCGAUAGGUACCUGGUUGAUGUUCCUUUCACCCUCCUCUGUGGCCAUCCUGUAUGUUUUAGUUGGCAUUUAAUCUGUAUUUUUGGAAGAGUUCUUAUCAUUUUGACUUUUUCUUUCCGCGCGAGAAUCAUUUGACCUCAUAGUACAACCGGAUGUCUUUUCACUUGUUUUGAUCUUGUCACCAUUAAUGUCGCCAUCCUUAUUAUUGGUCUGUUUUGCUUGGAACAGCAAUGCCAUGUGAAGACGAGGAAGGCCUUGGAUCAAAGAAGAGCGACUGCGGCUGGGUCGUGCGGUAGCGAAAACCCCUCGUCUUAGAGAAGCGAGUGCAUUAUAUCUAUAUGUUAGCUGUGUUUUGAGUCGGAGACAAGUUAUUGCUCGGUAAUGGAUUGGGAUGGUGGAUAAAACUGGAUCGGGUGCUCCUAUUGUUGUUUUGAACAGACAUGUAUGUUUGUUUGAACAAGUUGUGUUUUUUUUUACUUUCCAGUGUAUUGUCCAUUGCAAAACCUAUGCUCGACUCCGUUAGCAACGUGCCUGUGGUAUCGAUCUGCUAGAUCAUAUUGAGGCAUUAGCAUUUGUUGCUAGAAGUAAGAAUAAGACAUUUAUUUUGAACAGACCUUUGUAUGUCUGUGUUGCCCAUGGAGUAACAAGAAGAUACUUUUAUGGAAUUACAGGAGCACAACAUCAAAAUCGUUUUUUUUUACUUUUUUUUUGCGAAAAACAUCAAAAUCGAAUGACCGUCAAGAAGAUAGUUAUAGAUUACUUGAUUGUAAUUCCUUGUUGUUCUUUACUCGAUGGUAUCCAUAUAUAAGCCCCCCAUUGUUUUUCACCACACCAUGGGCCUCCUGAGGAAUUCCAUGUACAUCUGGUAGCUGGCACCCCAACUUCCUGGGCUGGAAGUAAGUACUCAGACUUGCUGAUGUUUUUCUCAAAAGAACCCCCACUUCCACUAGAAAUUCAUCCACAUAUCACACUUAUCACUCCUGGUCUCCAACAGUUGCCUCGUGAAAUCCUCAUAGUCAUAGGAGAGUAGAGUUCAAAGACCAGCUGCUUGUCAGAAUUUUCACUAGAAACGACAGUCUCAGGAGCUUUUCUUUUUCCACGCUCUCAGUCUCAGUGUUCCCUGAUCCACAUUAAAUGGACACUUGCUGAUAUAUUGGUCAGUCUUUUACAUGGUUUCACUACUGUAACUGUUGCAAAAUAAUAUGUCUGUAUAUGUUGAUAUACUACAUUGCAAAGAUAAGAAACCAGGGGAAGUUAUGGACACUACUUACCCAUCUCUGUAUGCAUUGCAAAGAUAAGAAACUAAGAUUGGAAUUUGUCCACCUAGGGGAAGUUUGUUGUAACAACCAUCCUUGAAAAGGCAGCGGAGCAGAGCAUCUCAGUCUCAAAUUACAAGAUUCUUUGAGAAUGAAGCUCAUCUCUGGAGGGUGUAGAAAGAUGCUUCUUGGAGAAUCAAUGAAUGGCAUGUGCAGCAGCAGAAGCUCCACUGCACCUGCACUCCUACCCUAUAAAAAGAGGGGCACCGUGCAGCCCAACGAUCCUCACAGGGCAAGAGAGAGGAAGAAGCACAAGUCCAGAAGCAAUGGAGGGGAGGAAGAAUGAGAGAGUGAAGGCCGGCGCCGUCUGCGUGCUCGUCAUCCUGCUGUCGGCCCAGCGGCUGUCGGUCGGGGUUGCCGACCCCACGUCGGCGUUCUGCCAGUGCUACCUGGGCUGCUUUGACCCAGACUGCGCAGAUAUCAUGUAAUGUCUGGUUAUGACAGACGGUUGAUGUGCGUCUCAUUUACUAGUAGUACUAUAAUAAUAUAAUAAAGUCUCGGUGCGAUUUGGAAUACAGAGCGCACAAUGAGAUGUUGCGGGCAAUGUUAUAAUCUGAAAUGACUUGGGCUGGUUUCACUCGAUUAGGUGAAAUUAAUUUACUCCUGUUGCUUUGUGGAAUGAAUCUGCCAAUUGUUCAUCUCAUAUAAACCACUGCAGUUUUGUAUAGUUAUGAUGCCUCUCAUAAG